Molecule: unclassified non-coding RNA, 199 nt
Filed under: uncultured fungus
Lineage: Eukaryota; Fungi
Description: sequence contains ITS1
Source: RNAcentral
UUAACUAUUAUAUACUACUCAGACGACACUAAAAUUCAGAGUUUGGGGUCCUCUGGCGGGCACACACCAGCCUGAGCCGGUGGCUAACCGUAAGGUAACGGCCCGCCAAAGCAACAAAGGUAGUAUAACACAGGGUGGGAGGUCUACCCGUGAGGGCAUGAACUCUGUAAUGAUCUCUCCGCAGGUUCACCUACGGAGA